UGCAUAUCAAAAAGCGGAGGAAAAGAAACUAACAAGGAUUCCCCUAGUAACGGCGAGUGAAGCGGGAAGAGCUCAAAUUUGUAAUCUGGCCCUUUCAGGGUCCGAGUUGUAAUCUCGAGAAGUGUUUUCCGCGCCGGACCGCAUACAAGUCUGUUGGAAUACAGCGUCAUAGUGGUGAGAGCCCCGUAAUUGAUGUGGAUGCCCGGUGCUUUGUGAUACACUUUCGAAGAGUCGAGUUGUUUGGGAAUGCAGCUCAAAUUGGGUGGUAAAUUCCAUCUAAAGCUAAAUAUUGGCGAGAGACCGAUAGCGAACAAGUACCGUGAGGGAAAGAUGAAAAGCACUUUGGAAAGAGAGUUAACAGUACGUGAAAUUGUUGGAAGGGAAACGCUUGAAGUCAGACUUGCUAUUCGGAAUUCAGCCGCAAGGUGUACUUUUCGAUUUGCAGGCCAGCAUCAGUUUUUGGGGGUGGAAAAGGGUGGAGAGAAGGUAGCAACCUUGGUUGUGUUAUAGCUCUUUACUGGAUUCAUCUUUGGGGACUGAGGAUCGCAGUGCGCAAUUUACUUUGCAAACCUUUCGAGGUUUUCGUACUUAGGAUGCUGGUGGAAUGGCUUUAAACGACCCGUCUUGAAACCACGGACCC
This 640-nucleotide ribosomal RNA is filed under the name Glaciozyma watsonii. RNAcentral describes it as "eukaryotic LSU rRNA". It matches the Rfam family "Eukaryotic large subunit ribosomal RNA", at positions 37 to 668 of the family's 3401-position model. Lineage: Eukaryota; Fungi; Basidiomycota; Microbotryomycetes; Kriegeriales; Camptobasidiaceae. The record is from RNAcentral.